This 433-nucleotide ribosomal RNA is filed under the name uncultured bacterium. Its description in RNAcentral is "partial 16S ribosomal RNA". It matches the Rfam family "Bacterial small subunit ribosomal RNA", at positions 29 to 507 of the family's 1533-position model. The record is from RNAcentral.
AACGAACGCUGGCGGCAGGCCUAACACAUGCAAGUCGAGCGAGGACUUCGGUUCUAGCGGCGGACGGGUGAGUAACGCGUGGGAAUGUGCCCUUCUCUACGGAAUAGCCCUGGGAAACUGGGAGUAAUACCGUAUACGCCCUAUUGGGGAAAGAUUUAUCGGAGAAGGAUCAGCCCGCGUUGGAUUAGGUAGUUGGUGGGGUAAUGGCCUACCAAGCCGACGAUCCAUAGCUGGUUUGAGAGGAUGAUCAGCCACACUGGGACUGAGACACGGCGCAGACUCCUACGGGAGGCAGCAGUGGGGAAUCUUAGACAAUGGGGGCAACCCUGAUCUAGCCAUGCCGCGUGAGUGAUGAAGGCCUUAGGGUUGUAAAGCUCUUUCAGCUGGGAAGAUAAUGACGGUACCAGCAGAAGAAGCCCCGGCUAACUCCGUG